AAUCUGUAGCCAUUACACAGAAAUGUAAUUAGUUGAUAGAAUUUUAAAUGGAUGUACAUCACAGAUCACCGGAAAUUAAAAUAGAGAGGAUUUCAACCAAACGAUCAUUUUAUAGAAAAAAACUGAGAUAAAUUGCAGCAUUGCUUGGUUUCUCUUUACAUAUCAUAAAGACGUUAAGGCCACUUGCUACACAGGAAACUCGGCUUUCCUUAUGCUGUGAGGACUGUUUGUCAAUGACCUUAUAAGACCUUAAAAGCAAUGAGGAGUCUGGUGGCACCUUAAAGACUAACAGAUUUAUUUGGACAUAAGCUUUUGUGGGUAAAAAAACCCCACUUCCUCUAGUCUUUAAGUUGCCACUGGACUCCUCAUUGUUUUUGUGGAUACAGACUAACAAGGCUACCCCUCUAAUACUUACAAGACCUUGAUGCUAGUGAAGAAGGGAGGUUCAGUGCUUAGGGUUGUAGCCUACUAUUUGGAAGACCAGAGUUAAAGCCUCUGCUCUGCCACAGACUUCCUGUGUGAUCUUGGACAAGUCACUCUGUGCCUCACUUCCCCAUCUGUAAAAUGGGCAUAAUAGUACCUCACAUGGAUGUUGUUAGGAUAAAUACUUUAUAAAGCUUUUGAGGCACUCAGAUACAAUAGUAAUGGGUGGGGGGGCAGAUAAAUACAAUAGAUUAGAUAGACAGACCGACCUAUAGUGAUGACACACCUGCAGGCAAUUUUCAAAGAAAAAAACAGUUCUAAAUCAUAGCAACCAUGAUUCUGCAAUAGGAUUGUCUGUAAGGAUAUUGCACUAUUUUGGACUCUGGUCACAACUGGGAGCAGUGGUUCCUACCUAUAGUGACCCAUGUACAUAAUAAACCACAGACAACAUAAGUAACCAUUUAAAAAGAAACAAUAUAGAUUAAAAAAGAUCAAGAACUGGGGGGCAAGAACAAAGGAAGAAACUGCCCCCCCCACACACACACUCACCCCCCUCAGGUUGUGGGCCUGAGAAUGAGUGAUAGGAUGAACAGUGAUACUGUAAAUUAGGACAGAUAAAUAUGUAGAGUUUGAAAGGAGAGAGAGCCUGUGGGUAAGGUACUGGGCUGACACUCAGGAGCUCUGGAUUCAGUUCUUGAUUCUUCCAGACCUUGGACAUGUCACUUAGAGACUUGAGGCACAGAGUGUUUAUCUGUAAGUGCAGAUGAUAAUACUGUAGCCAACCAGGCCUUGCAGCGGUCAGGCCUAGUGGUUGAAAUGAGCAUUUUCCCUGCUGGUUACAGCUGGAUCCAGGGUGGGUAGAGUCCAGGAAUGAGCCAAGGGUCAGUGCCACAGGGAUAGAAGCCAAAUGUCAGAGGCUGAAGGUCAACCAGAAGCAUGAGCCAGAGGCAGAGCUGGGGAUUGAAACCAGAAGUCAGAAGCGGAGGGGAAUAGGGGCUGGAACAGGGACUAGUAGCAAGCUGAAGCCGGAUUGGAAGCAGGUUGGAGCAGGACUGGAACACACACAAGUGCAGCUGUGGGCAUAGUACACACUGAGCAAGCUGCUGAUCUUUAUUUGUGUCACAUCGGCUUCAUCAUGCAAGGCUAUGACAUCCACUUGCUUCAUUCAUUUUUAGCUAAGUUUUUUUUUGUUCUUUAUUAGAUCCUUUCACUCAGGCUAGUAUCCUUAAGGACAUGCAACGUGGCUUUUUUUGCAGUAUUCCAUUUUCCGGACAGUCUCACUAAU
Dermochelys coriacea (leatherback sea turtle) is the source of this 1708-nucleotide long non-coding RNA. RefSeq lists it as uncharacterized. NCBI's taxonomy places the organism in Eukaryota, Metazoa, Chordata, Testudines, Dermochelyidae. The transcript is spliced from 2 exons. The record is from RefSeq and is a predicted model, not a curated record.